UUUUUAUUUUAGAGAUGUUGUAUGGGAAGGAAAUUGUGAUGAUGGAUGCCAAAACUUAGCAGAUUCUUUAGGAUGGGGUGAUGAGUUAAGAGAGAUGAUUAGAGUUGAGCAUACACGUAUCGACGAGGAAUACGAAAAAAAUAAAAGCAAAGUACAAGAUGAUAAAUGAAUUUUUCAAA
This is a long non-coding RNA of Centruroides sculpturatus (bark scorpion), 179 nucleotides long. RefSeq lists it as uncharacterized. The record is from RefSeq and is a predicted model, not a curated record. Lineage: Eukaryota; Metazoa; Arthropoda; Arachnida; Scorpiones; Buthidae. The transcript has 2 exons.